UGUGAUUCGAACAUGCCUUAGCACCAGGACACACAAGAGUUUCUGAUAACUCAAUUCAAUCCUGUGGGAAAGUCCCCGGGCACAUGGUAGAAAGUACCAGGAUAUGAAUUUCCUAUCGCGAUUCUCGAACGUCCCCUCUCAUUACAAGACGGGAGUAAUCUCGGAAUAAUAGUGGAGUCAGAUAAUUGAGAUCGCGAAUUGGCCAAGUUUGUAAUAAAGUUACGCAAGGAAUUCAAAUUCAACACAAUGGGGCUCACAUAGCAAGAAUCAC
Molecule: RNase MRP RNA, 271 nt
Filed under: Belgica antarctica
Lineage: Eukaryota; Metazoa; Arthropoda; Insecta; Diptera; Chironomidae
Description: rNase MRP
Rfam family: RNase MRP
About the family: RNase MRP is an enzymatically active ribonucleoprotein with two distinct roles in eukaryotes. In mitochondria it plays a direct role in the initiation of mitochondrial DNA replication.
Source: RNAcentral